UUUAUCAAUCAUCUAUCAAUUAUCUAUCUAUCUAUCUAUCUAUCGAUCGAUCUUCGGAUCUAUCGGUCUAUCUAUCUAUCUAUCGAUCGAUCUUCGGAUCUAUCCGUCUAUCUUCCUAUCUAUCUAUCCGUCUAUCCAUCUAUUUAUCAAUCAUCUAUCAAUUAUCUAUUUAUGUAUCUAUCUAUCUAUCUAUCUAUCUAUCAUCUAUCAAUUAUCUAUCUAUCUAUCAUCUAUCAAUUAUCUAUCUAUCUAUCUAUCUAUCUAUCUAUCAUCUAUUUUUCUUAGUAGGCUUCAGGCCCAGCACAGAGCCCAACGAGACCUGAGAUGAGACCAAGAGUCAGACUCCCAACUGACCGAGCCACCGGGCGCUCCUGAAGCUUUAAUUUUAGGACGAGCAAACUUUUGAAAUGAGUGAACUGAUUUCAGAGUCUUCUAGUGGAGAGUGUGUCGUUAGAGUGUCACGGCUUCCUGGCCUUUUUGUUUCAACGGGCCCACCUUCGUCUUCCAUCCAAACGUUAGGGAAAUCUUACAGACGGCCCCUUUCCGGUUUUGCCCUGAGUGGGUGUUCGUCCGCUCCAGGCUGGGCGAAUCCCCACGGAGCUUCAUUUUCUCCAUCUCCUCUAAUUCCCAGCUGAGGGGGGGCUGGCACCAGACGCAGACUAUGUGGCUUCCCGACACACCAAAGGCAGGAGCCGGGCUUGUUGGGUAACCGGACCGGUCACGGCUGCUGGAGCUUUCCAUGGGCGCUCCCCCAGGAGCCGAGUCAGCCGGCUGCUGCCAGGAACCUCCACACCCCGUGCUUUGGGGGUCGGGAGAGGCACACGCAUGCACGCACACGCCAGCACUGUCCCCCCAGAGCGCGGGCUUGAAGCCAGCAUCAGUGGGGAGCAACCCACGGAGGACAAGAACGCAGCAAUUCCCUGGCCGCACUGCAGAGCGGGCCUGACGCCUCCCGCCCCGGGCGUGGGGCCAGGUGGGCAGGCCCUGCCACGGGGU
RNAcentral lists this long non-coding RNA (996 nucleotides) under Felis catus (domestic cat). RNAcentral's name for it is "lncRNA (ENSFCAG00000046999.1)". The record is from RNAcentral. Lineage: Eukaryota; Metazoa; Chordata; Mammalia; Carnivora; Felidae.